AUUGUGAUGACAUGGUCGCAGGGAGCAGGCAAGAAUAUGAGCUGUCCCAGUAUGCAUGCAGCCUGUGGAUUGUACAUGCUUGGACUAAAUGGACCAUUUAGAGAGAUGGUCCAUAGGUUACAGAUGUGAAGAAACAGAAAUAAACUGUUUAUCAGAGAGACUAAACAACAAUCUAGUUUUAGUCGUGGUACCUAUGUAUAAAUACACAACCAUCUUCUGAGCAAUACUGCACACAGAUGCUGUACGCACGUUCCUCAGGAUUGUCUUGUACCAACCACUGUGCUUCACUUCUGUGUCUGGAGAGCAACUGACAUAAUGAGCAUGAGCACCCUGUCGACAACUAAGAAAGUCUCCUACUGCAUAUGUGUACUACCAAAGAUGAUGCUUAACAUAGAGAAGAACAUGCAUCAGUAAGUGUAGAAAAGUCACAACUGAGUAAGUAGUUUUCCUGUCCUAUAAACACUUUUUUCCUGAAAAACACCAUAUAAAUUUGUAAGUGCAUGUGAUAACUAACAUUAUCUCACAUUUACUUGAUGCAAUUGUUGCUUUUCACACUUGCUAGAAACAACUACUUUGUUUUGUUGCUAGUAAAACUGUGGGAGCUCUACCUCAGGGACAGAUAAAGUACUGGGUGAAGUUUUGCAGGAAUAAAGGUAUAUUUUGAUUAGUUACAUAGAAAGAUCUAGGUUUGCCCUAGAAAUCAAUGGGAUGUAGCUUGCAUUUUUAUUAGCUUGCUUGCUGGCAACUUCUUCCUGUCUGUAUGGAUAUUCCCCCACAGGCUGUGUUUGAAUUCACAGAAGGCUGUGAAAGGCCUUGAAGAAGCUGCUACUCUGCUGUAAGAGAGCAUUUGUGUAAAUACUCUUGACUGAGGCAGACGUCUAGAUCGGGCCCUGGUUUCCCCUCUAUUUCCACAGCAGAGGAUUUUAAACCAGCAUUCAAAGGAACUUUCUGUCUACGUGAUAGCUCAGCUAUCACAUAUCUAGAACUGCAAAAUUCAAUACUCUGCUUUCCUGUUCAUUCCUUAUUAUGUUGCUGAGAGUAUUAGUUAGCUUUAGUCGUAAAGUGGCUUUAAGGUUGGACUAUGAAAAGACACCAUAAACUGCAUCCAUAUCAGACAGAGCCAGCUUGCAAUUGUUUACAAAAGGGACCUGCUGCUGGCCAGAGCUGAGCCAAUAAGCAAUGCCAGUGGUACCUCUGUAAGAUCAGGUUUAAAGAAAGGUACAAUGUACCGUGUAGCUUUGUGAGAGAAGAGUGAGAAAAAUGUGAUAGAAACAGCCCCACAGACACAAAGGUCAGUGAAGAACUGGGAAGAGGGUUGGAGCACAGAUUCCUCUACAGAAUACCAAGGUAAAGCAGAUUGUCCCUUGGUAUCUCAUGGAAGAGUACCUGGAGGAGCAGGUGGUUGUGUCCUUAAGGAAACUGCAGUCCAUGAGGAACCCACACAGGGGAAAGUUUUCUGUCAGGAACUGAAUGUCCCAUGAGGUCCACACCAGCGCAGUCUGUUCCUGGUGAAACGUAACUUGUGGAAACAACAAAUGCUGGAGCAGUUCAUAAGGAAUUGCAUCCAAUGGGAGAGACUACAAGCCCCAUUUUCCAUUGCCCAUGCCACUCAGAGGACAAGGAAGUAGAUCAGUAGGGAAUGAAAGAAUGAAGUUGAACCAUCAAAUAAGGGGGCUAUGGGAAAGGUGUUUUGGUUGUGAUUGUUUGUUGUUUAUCUCAAUAUCCUAAAAAUAGAUUUAAUUGGUAAAUUAAUUUUUUAUUCCCUAAGUUGAAUCUGUUUUGCUCUUCACAAUAAUUGGCGAGUGAUCUCCGUGUUCUUACUUCCUGGAGAAAACAGAAUGGGGAUCUUAUCAACACUUAUAAAUAUCUUAAAAGGCAGCUGUCAAGUGCAUGGGGCAGGCUCUUUUCAGUGGUGCCCAGCAACAGAAUAAGGGGCAACAAACAGAAACUGGAACACAGGAAGUUUCAUCUGAACAUGAGGAAAAACUUCUUUACUGUGAAGAUUACAAAGCACUGGAACAGACUGCCCAGAGAGGUUGCAGACUUGCUUCUGGAGAUAUUCAAAACCCACCUGAAUGCUUUCCUCUGCAACACGUUGUGGGGAACCUGCUUUAGCAGGGUGUUGGACUAGGUAAUCUCCAGAGGUCUUUUCCAGCCCCUACCAUUCUGUGAUUCUGUAAUUUGACCAAUGAGAUUAUUUGUUCUGUCUGUCCUACUGAAGAGGGGGAGGGAGUGAGCACCUGGCUCCAUGCCAUGGCUAACUCAACACACUGAAGCAGAAUUAUAAUGGCAGGUGCACUCUUUUAUUAAACAGUUACUUAUUUUUGUACAAAAAUAUGAUGCACUUGCAUUGUACUUCCACUAUAGCCUAAAGGUACUAAUUUGCAUUUAUAUAUUCUGGAAAAAAAAAAAAUUGAUAACUGAUUGUAUUGUCUGACUGUAACCGAAUUGAAAUUCUUGAUCAGUGAGAGGAUUACUUUAUUUUCUGAAGUUUCUGCUUGAUUUUUUUUUUUGCAAUGUAGAAAUCUCUCAUCUCUAAUUGAUGUCUGAUUUCUUUUCUAUAAAUGUCUUCUGCUCAAAAGUCUUCAUUGCAGGCUUUCUGUAAAUUGUGUGCAUUGAUUGUGAAGUUCUUGUCCUUAUUUCCAAAGCCCUGAGUGGCUAUGGUAUUGGACUAAUUUUCUCUUCUGCAUUUUCUAAGCUGUUAAUUACAGUCUGAAUCAUAAGGUUACUUUUUUUUCUGUACUGUAAUUUGGUGAGCUGUGAGUCAUGAAGUUUUUGUAGCUCUGUCCUUUCAACGAUAUUGCAGGAUCCUUUCCUGCUGCCCACUUGGUGUCCUUAUUUAAAAAUAACAUUGAAGAAAGAAGCUUUUGCUUCUACUUUUAACUUGCUAGUUAGUUGUACUUGUUCAGUGCUUCAAGACUUUUUUUUUUGUUAAGGAUAAUAUGCUAGGUUAGUGAGUUCCCCAAGGUACUAGCUGAAAUACAAAUGGUUAUUAAUAAUAUGUAUGUAGUAAUAAACUGAAAAUGGCUCACUAAAAUGUUUUCUGGGCAGAUUUUCAGGUAGAAUAUUGUGCAGUAAAAUAACAAUUCCUUUUAUUUACGGUUAUUACUGUGAUUUUACUAGUAUAUUUUUAUACAAUUAAUGCAAAGUAAAUGACAUGUGUAUGUGAAGGAAAUUGAUUCCUCAUAGCCUAUGCACUUAUCUCUCUUUGACUGCAAAAUUGGGUUUGAUUAUUGUGUUUAAGAUAAGAAAAUGUUGUUUGUUUGUUUUCUUUUUAAAGUCAUAUCUCAUUGACAUAUCCAAAUAUUUAAAAUUUUGUCAUUACUUUUUACUCAGAAAAAUAUUGGAAUAUUUCCCAUUGCUAGAGAGUCAUUCAGACAAAUGUGAGAGUUUUGAGUAGCAAUUGCCACAGAUAGCUGAGUUCCAUGUAUUUGAUUUUUUCCCCCACUAGAAGAGGAAAUAUGAUUGAUUACUACUAGAGAAUGAAGCAGAGGGACUGGCUGAUUUAUGUGAAAGACUUCUGAUUAAAAAUACACAUAAACCUAAAACUCCUCAAAAUAGAUUUCAUAACUCAUAAUUCAAAUUACCCUUUUCUUCUAAGACUGACAGAAAAAAAUAUUUGAUUUUAACCACUUGGGAGGAGAAUUCUUUUGUGGAGUUUUCUUCUUUAAUUUUUUAUAUUUCUAUUCUGUAUGUUCUCAAGCCAUGUAUUAGUUGUAGGAACAGUGAACUAUUGUUAUAGAAUUCCUCAUGUUGGAAAAGACAUUUAAGGUUAUAUUAAACAAACAAAGCAAAACAAUUAAUGAUGUGAGACUCAUGAAAAAUGUGAUAAUUGGCAGCAGUGGAACACAGAAACCAGGACACAUACAUUUCUAUCGUGUCAUAAUAGUCCCCUGCACCCUUCUUUCAUUAUUUUAAGCCUCAGCGUAGGAACCCUCAUAUUUCACUUGACUAACAUUUUCUUCUCUAAAAGAUGUUUCUGUUCCUCUUGAACAGCUUUGACAUUUCCAUUAUUAGCAACAGGCCUCUGCAACUGGUGAAGUGAGAUGCUGGGGGCUAGAGGUGGACUGUGCUUCUUUCGCAGGAAGUUCUGCUGGGUUUGUCUAGGGGCAGAGGCAUAUAAACGAUUCAUCAGAGGUUAAAAAGGUUGCUUGGGUCAGCUGACCCACAGUAAAUAUGCAUCUUAGCUCAGGGCAAAAGUAAAAUAGUUCGACUUUCUUUAAGGAAAGCAAACUUGGUAAACCAUACGUACUUGUAUGGAUACACCACACACUGGCCAACAAUUUGUGUGGACUACUGCACAUGUUUGAAUUGUUCAGCUGUGUAAAAUCAUUUGUCUGUUUGGAUUUUCUGUCUUGCAUUUUCCUCCCAAAGGGACCGUGUGUAGAAACCCUCCAAGGAGCUAUUUCUGUGCUCUGAUUUAUAUUGCAUAAUUAUACACAAUGUUGGGAAUAUUUGAUAGCUGCUGGAACAGCUCUGUUGAUCUGAGUACAUGAGUCUCACUUCUGGCAGCAGUGCCUCCUCUGUACCAGUGACUCUUCUCACAUGGCAGCUCUGCCCAUCUUGUAGUAUCACACUUCUGCUCCUGCCAACUGGCAUGAAUGGUCUUGUGUCUCAUGCUGAAUACUUAGCACUCAGACCCUUCGUGUGCACAUAGUAGAUAUUGGGGCUAAAAUCUGUGAAGAUGAUAUUCUUAUGGCUGCAUGGUUUUCUUUCAACUGUUUCAGUCUCCCUUUUGAAACUACAUUUUUGCAGCUCUCAUUCUAUUUGUUUCUUAUGUGAAAUUCAAAAGAAGUUAUCUUGGGGCCUCAGUUGCCUACACAUCACCUUGUUUAGUUUCAGAAAUGUUCUCUCUUUCAAAAAAAUAAUUUAUGAUUCAAAAGGUGGCUUCUUAGUCAAAGGUCACACUACUCUGUCCAAAAAAAAAAAAAAAAAAAAAAAAUCUAUAGGUUACAGUGUCUGGAAUCAAUCACUGAAGAAUCCAAGAAUCCAUCUCUCUUUGCAUGGCCAAACUGAUCUCUCUUUUGUUGGUUUAGCAGCACGUGGAGUCUAAUAUAUAUAAUAUAUAUCUUCCCAGUUUGGGAGCUCAAUCUUGCACAGUUUGGGCUGUCAGAAUCUGUUGUGUGAAGAUGUCAUAUACCUUACUUGUGGGAGAGUAUUGUAUGUAUUUGAGAAUUGCUGGAAAUUUACAUCCCUCAGAAAAAGAAAUCUGCUGCUUGAGGAACUUGGGAAGAAGGCAGAGGAAAGGAAUAUCUCUGGUAACGUUCUCUGGAAAGAUCAUAAUACUCUACGCAGGAGCAAUGAGAGAGGCAAGGUAAAGCAGAGUUUCUAUACCUGAGAAGAUGAUAUAAGAAAACAAGCUGCAGGUUCACCCAGGGGCAGCCCUUAGCUCUGGUAUAAGGAGAAACUGUAUGGUUUUCACCAGAGCCUAAAGGAAACCAUGUAUCCAAAAAAGGAACAAAUUGGUUCUAUGCAGGACAGAAAACCUUUGGAGUCAAUAGCAGGCAGCAUGAAUGUCUAGCUGUAAAUGUAGACACUGAUUUAUCAGAGAUAUAGUGGAAAGAAGAGAGUUAGCAGGGUACUUUACUAACAGGAAAGAAAACAUAUAUGAAAGGUGAACAGAGAUGUAUUUCAUGUUAGAGACACUUGACAAUCUAGCUGCAUUAAUGCCUCAGUGCACAGCACAAAAUUCAAGCUAGAGUUAAAUCCUACUUUCAGCACAAAAGGAGCAAAAAUCCUUCCAGAGAUCAUGUCAGCUGAGGACCUAACUAAAGAAAAGAGUACUUGGAGAGGUCGCUGUAGUUAUAUUAAAACAAUUUUGCUGGUCUCUGUUUCAGGUAGGAAAAUGGAAAGUCUUCUGUACCAGAACCUUUACUAGAAUCUUUUUUUUUUUUUUUUUUUUUUUUUUUUUUUAGAGAAGAAAAAGGAUCAAUAACAAUCUUCUACAGAAAAUGUGUUAGUAGUUGUUCACAAACAUGGAAAAUUGUGUCUAAAAAUCAUCAGGAUUGGAUGGUAUUCAGCCAAGAACUUUAAGGCAACUUGAGGACAAAACAUCUAAAUUACUGGCUACAUAUAGUUAAUGGCAAGGAUAAAUAACUGUGUGCAACCUUUUGCCUAAGUAUUCUUUGAAAGCAGGUUUCUAGAGGGUGGUAAGUAUAAUUCUAAUUUGGAAACUUCAGGCCUGCAAGCCUAAUGUCUGUAUAGUAGAAGACAAUUCAUGGAUACCUGAGUAAACAUAAGCUGCUUUGGUAAAGUCUUCUGAAAAGUAAGGAUCAUCUUUAGAACUUCUAAUAUUUUUUUUCAGGAAGUCAAUGAGCUUGUAGCUAGUGAUGAUCUGUUUGACAUGAUUUUGGUUUUUGAAAAAAAGCUUUGACAAAUUCCUAACGUUAAGCUUGUAAUGUACUUAAGUGGCCAUGGCACAGGAGGGGAAAAAAUUGGCAUAGAUUAGGAAGAAAGUGAAAAAUAGUAAACAGAUUUUUUUAAUAGUGUUUUUGUUUGUUUUGUUAGAUAAAAAUUGCUGGUGGUGGGAGGGCUCUGUGCUAGGGUAAAUGUAUUCACAGAUCACUAGAAAAGUAAGUUAGCAGUAAAAUGACAAAAUGUGAUGAUGGUACUAGGUUUUUCAGGGUAGGUAGGAUGAGAACUGGAACUGAAAAAUUGCCAGAAGAUAUUAGGAAACAGCAUGACUGGACAACAAAAUGGCAGGUCAAAUGCAUUGUAGAUCUAUAUUAAUGCACACCCAGAGAACGAACUCUGUCUUCAUAGGGAAAGACUCUGUGCUGGUCACCAUUACUAGGGAGUGAUACCUGAGAUCUCUGCUAAAAAGAAUUUUCUGACUAGUAUUUAUCUUCGUUAUGUAUUCCCAAAAGAUGUUGCAGAGAUGCAAAACUUUGUGUAGCCUCAAAGGAGUGAUUGAACAAAUACUUAGAAUGAAUGUUUAUUGUUGAUUACUAAACAGACAAACUGCAACAUGCUCAGGAAAUCUCCUGAACCAUAACUGAUCAGAGGACAGGAAAGCAACAGACCAAAAAUUACAAAGAUUUGCUCUGUUGUUACUCUUCUCUAAAAGAGUAGUUAUUCUGUAGUAUUCUUGCUCAUAGCUACUAUCAGAGAUGAAAUAGUCUAGACAGACCCUUGUUUUCAUCCUGUAGGGCUACUCUUUUUAUGUGUUUGUUGUUGUUGUUUGUUUUGUUUUGUUUUGUUUUUAACUUUUGGAAGAUUCUUAGAGUACAUCAAGACAUUGAUGUAACAAUGACAUAGAGACACAAGACAUCUUUACCUUGUCCUGCUGUUUUGGCCCUAGAUGAAGAGAUUAUAGCACACAUUAGUGCCAUACUCUCCCAUGCUUGCCAUACUAACAGUUACUUGCACAAACAAGUGGAUGGCACAGAGCUGCCCACAUCAAAUCUGUGCUGCUUUGGAUCUCUCAGAGUUGAUAAAUGCUCGUGGGUAGGUCAUUUCCAAAUAGUACUGGCUGUUUGAUUUUCAUAUUUUGAUUUUCGUAUUUUAUAUGAAAAGUCAGAUAUGUACUCUUAUUUAUAAGCCUCUUGUAUUAAAAUUCAUUUUUAUUUUUCCCACCAACUUUCAGAAGAGAAAGUCUUGAUGCCAAUAGCUCAAAUAUCUGAAAAUCAGGAAAAAUUAGAAAAAGUAGUAGCUGGUUUCUGAAAGCUAUGGGAUUCCAUAUUUAGACUUUUCUUUGUGUGUGUGAAUCUGGUUUCUACCUUAAUUCUAGGGUGGAUAUUACACUUCGUAAAAAAAAAAAAAAAAAAAAAAAAAAGCAGGUACGUUUUUUUCACUGUUUAUUUGAGCUCCAAGGUAAUAAUCUAUAUUAACUGUUUUAUACCUUUGAGUCAGGAAGGCACUCUAUGGUUGACUGUUAUUGAGAUCUUUCAGAUAAGCUGUACAUUUGCACUCAUUAUAAAUUAUUUCACAAGGAGAAUGAGAUCAGGUUUGAAACAGAAUUUCUUACAACCACAUAAUAACUUAUCAGUCUUAUUGACAAGCAUUUUGCAAAACAAUAGUAUUGUGCACAGCUUAUGUAUGAGCAAAUAGAAUUACUGCUAACAUCUUUUAAGGCACUUGUCACACACUUUCCCCUCAGUCAAACACUGUUAGCUCACUAAUCAAUCUGCUUGUCAAAAAUGCUCUUCUUUGGCAGAAGAGACUGAGAAGUUUGACAAACUGCAUUAAGUUGGUGAUGUUGAUUAAUGCUUUUCAGUUAGUAGCAUUUUGUUGAACACUAUAAAUUAAGAAUUUUGAUGACAGCUGGCUUUUCAUAAAUUACAUACAAGAGGAGCUUAUCAUUGCAAUGAAGCAAUUUAUUUUUCCUUUCCAAGAUUUCUUAUGACUGCUUCAUGUGAGUUUCUGUUGCGUAAAUUCUUUAUUUCUUUUCUUUCAACUGUUAAAAUGUAAAUAGCACACUUUGAACUCAGUAAUCCUUGGUGAAAAAGAAAGAAAGAAGAGAAAGAAGCUUGAUUCUGAAGCUGCUGAUUUUUCUUGAUUUUUUUUCAAAGCCAAAGAACUGUAAGGACAAAACUGAAGAGGUAUAAGCCUUUUCAGUAUUUUUGCAUAUCUCAAAUGUUUGUCAUUUUCUGUAAGAGAUUUGCUAAUGCAAGGAACUCACAUACAAGCAAUAGUCCACAGAAGUUUCUUUAGUGAUUAUUCUAUUAAAUUUAGGAGUUUUUAUUGCUUUUGACUUCAUUCAUUUUUUUUUAUCCAGUACCUGAUUUAGUAGUGCCCUGUGGCAGAGGAUUGGAAUUACAUGAUCUCUUACAACCCAAGUCAGCCUUCUUCUACCACUUUCUCUCUGCCGUAUGAUGUGUGAGAGAUGGGGAAUGGGUGCUAUGGUCAGUCCUUACAAGUUCCUCUCUGCUGCUCCUUCCUCCUUAUGCUUUUCCCCAGCUCCAGCAUGGACUUUCAUGGGCUACAAUCCCUCAGAAUAAAUCUGCUUCAGUGUGGCUCCUUCCCACAGGCUGCAGUCCUUCAGGCUAAAUAUGCUCCGUAGUGGGCUGUCUAUGGGCUUUUACUUUCUUUGGAAAAUAUUCACCUGUUCUGGCAUGAGAUUCUCUAUGGGCUGUAGUAUUGAUAUCUGCUCGAUUUAGGGUUUUCUCCUUGGUCUGCAGGGAAAUAAUCUUUAUUUAAAUUUUCUUUAAAUUGCUUUUAUGCUGAUCAAAUUAGGUGAGAACCUGACGUUUUGUUUUUUUUAACAGAAAAACAAACUACUGGUUUCUGUGUGGCUUCAUUCGCAGUCACAGAAAGUGAGUGAUAGUUUAUCUAACUGAAACUACAGGAGGAUUUUAAUUAAGCAGAAUGUAAUGAUUAGAAUUGCAAUUUUGAAAGAAAACUGGGGCUACCACUCCCAACUAAGCAUGUGUUUUGACUAAUGUUAAAAGCUUUGUUUUUCUAACUCAUAUAGAUUUUAAGACAAUUCACUUAUAAAAGGAGAAAGGAGACAAGAAAGAAAGAAAGGCAGUGGGAUGCCAGUGCUUCCUUAGUUUUCCUGAACUCACCCAUGCAGUGGUUUUCCUCCUAAGUACUAAUGAAACCAGAUACUGCUUUACUUCCAAAUGGAACAAUACAAUUAGAAGCCACAUCCAUAAUAGCUUUUGAAACUAUUUUGUUAAUCAGGCACUUCUGCUGCUGAGUCAGCAUGGUAUGCUCACUGUAAAUUCACCACUUACAUAUCCUGAGCAAUGUUUUUAACUUCAGUGUUCAGACUCUGGAAAAGGCUACGGGUGACAGUUCUUCCAUGAAGAAAUGUUUAUGCUGUUGAUAUUUAUUGCUACUUUCUUGUCUUUUCCUUUCUUUUCUUUUUUUUCUCUAGUUGUUAAAUUGUUUUUUUGUUGUUGUUGUUGUUGGUAAAUAUUAUUAUUUGGGAUUUGUAUCUUUAUAUGGAGGAAUGAAAAAAUAAUUAUUUGCUGUGGCAUUUUUAGAAGUAAAUUGAACAUCCUACUGGGAAUAAUGCAAUGUUUUUACUCUAUGCAUUUUGUCACCCUACUAUUUGGAUUUACUUUCAUUCCCACACAGUGUUCCUGGAAUCCCCAAGCAAAAUCUCUAAUGUGUUAGCAUGCUGACCUUUGCUUUGGUUGUAGGCGCAAAUGUUAAUAGAAACAGAAAAAGAGAAGUAAUCGCUUUUAUUUCUCACUCUCUUGUUCAACAAACUAGCAUUUAUAGAAAGAAGAUAUUGUUCAGUUACUAAGUCAACUUGAACACUGAUUUUCCUGAUGUCUGUCAUCUAGGCUACUAACUUUUUAAAGAUGCUUCAUUAGAGAUACUAGACAGGUACCAUUUUCUUAUUUCACAUUGACUAGUUCACAGUAAUGGCUGUGAAGCUAGAUUAAACCCAGCAUUUUAUAGGUAAAAAUCUGGUUUACAGUCAUUAGUUAUAUUACCUCCAGUUCCCUGGAAUUCUGUAGUACUCUCCAACUGCUUUUCAAGUGUAGGGUAAAAUGAAAGGGAAUUAAGAGCAAAUGAUACAUGUAAUUAAGGCCCCAUUGUGAUUACUAUUUUAAUUCUGUGAUGGGGGAAAAUAAUGUAGAUAGCCAAGUCUGAAAAUUAGGUUAUUAAGCUUUCUGUUUAGUUUAGAUUUUUCUCUUUAUUUUUAAUUUAGCUACAAAAAUGUUAUUGUUCUGUUUCUAUUAUUGCCAUUGUUUUUAACUUUCUUCCUUAAUUCAUUCUUAUCCUUCUAAUCUGCCCUAGAGGUGUACCAUUCAUGAUUUUUAUAUUCUGAAAACUACAAAUUGCUGUAAUUUCCUUCACAGUGCUACAUAUUACCCUAGUGAAGUAACCCAAGCUGAGUGCAUUGCUGUAAAGGGUUUUCUUUGAUUUUUUUCUGUGCUCUUUUUAGAGACUUGGCACUGAAGUGGGGAACCAUUCUAAAAAAAAACAAAAAUAAAACCAACUAACCAAACAAAAAAAACCUACAUGGACUACAUGGACCUUGUUUUGAUACCAAGAAUGGCAUUAAUCUUUAUGCAGAUAUAAAUGGAAGUUAGCCAGCAUAUUUCAAUAUACUCUAUGGUUUUGAACUGACGUGGUGUUAGAAACUGAAAUAUAUGACCUAAAGGAUAUUUUUUCAAAACAAGCAGAAGGCCAACAUUUAUGCUAUUCCUGACUACUUGAGACCACCAAAUCCCAUACAGUUAGUCAUGAAUUAGGUGUUCUCUACAGUCUCUGUAGUCUCUCAACAUGAGAGACAAAGAUGGUAAGGCUUCAGCCUUUUCUAGCAGGUCUUCCAUUGUAUUUUUUUAAUGAGUUUGUUUGAAAACAGGAUGAACAGAGUGGAUGAGUUCAGAAAGGGAUAAGAGUAGUGCAUGUCAAAAUGCCUGAGUUUUAUAUGUCAAAGAAUAAAAGAAAGGAAACUUAGGGACAAACCAAGAAAGAAGAUAUAAGAAUUUUAGGUCUAGUAAAGAAAGCAGUGGAGAGAGCUAAACAUAUUUGACCUGGGUGUUGCAGAAGCCCUGUCUCAUUUUGGAAGAGAGCUGAGAGUGAUACAAUACACAAGAAACCUACUGAAACAUUUAAAAUUAGCUAUGAUGAAGAUACUUCUGAAGGCAUCGGUACUAAUGUGCUUGAAUUUCAGAGGCUAUUCUAUAGAGUCUGUCCUAGUUUCAGCUGGGAUGGAAUUGCUUUCUUCAGAGUACUUGGUAUGAUGCUACGUUUUGGUUUUAGGAGAAAAACAGUGUUGAUAACACACUGAUGUUUACUGUUUUUGCUAAGCGGCGCUUAGCUGAGCCGAGACCAUUCACAGCUAAAGGAGGCCCAAGGAGCUGUGAGGGAACAGAAUUAAGACAGCUGACUUAAACUGGUCAAAUGGAUGUUCCAUGCCAUAUGGCAUCAUGCAGAAGGAGUUUUGAAAAGAGUUAGGGUUCUCUUUUCCACUGCUUGGGGGCCUGGUUGGUCAUUGGUUGGGGGGUGGGGAACAAUUCCUUGUGUAACAAUUGUUACAUACAUUCAUAUAUAUAUAUAUAUUUGUUGCAACUAUAAUCCUUUUCUUCUUCUCUAUUUUAGUAAAUAAAAGUUCUACCUUUUUUUUUUUUUUUUUUUUUUUUUUUUCCUGAUUCUCUCCCUUAUCCCACUGGGAAGCUGGGGAGUGAGCAAACGACUGUGUGGUGCUCAUCCACCUGCUGAGUUAAACCACAGUAGAGUCGUUGGCUUUUAACUGUUUUAUGCUAUAGUAGUCUUAAUGAUAUGAUGCAUUCCCUGAGCAGGCAGAAUUUCAUUCAUCUGAGGAGAGCUCCUUGGGAUGUCUCUGAGGUAUUUCAAGGAAGUACUAAUGUUGAAAUGUUGGAUGUGUUCAUUCUGCAUUAUGAUGAAUUUAAUUUUAGUGAACACAGAGGCCUCUGCCCUGUUAAUUUAUAUAUAAAUACAGAAAUUAUAGAAGGGCCCAGAGGAACACAGUGCCACUAAUGCAGAAGUGUGUUAGAUAUUUAAAAUAUGUGCUUCAAUUCCUGCCAGCUGGCCUUUGCACACUAUGUGCACCAAAUAACCCAGUAGCUGUCCCUGUGGAACAUAAUUUCUAAUUUUAAGUUUUAUUGAUUAUUCUUUUGGAACCUGUUACGUAAUUUCUCUAUAGACCCAGACUCCAUAAAAGAAGUCUAUGCAUUCAUUAAUACUCCAAAAAUAUGUAUCAGACACUUUCAUGUUAUACUAAGCCCAAAUGCAGUUUAUGUAAAAGCAUACAUUUAAAACCAAAACUGCGAAAACAUGUAUUCUACUGGAGUACCUACAUUAUUCCUUGAUUGGACAUAUCCUUUAAAUAAGACUUUCCCCCUUUCAUUUAAACUGAAUUCUCAGAGAAUCCAGAAUGAGAUAAAAUAUACUCAGUAAUAAAAAUAAUCAUUCAAGUGUUGAUGCAUGUCAGGAUUCUAUUAUGAUGAGUUAUUAAGGUAUCUUAAUAUGCAGGAUGAGAUUAGUGACUUCAUUCACAAUUGAAUUUUUAGUUGUUGAGGUCAAUAUUGUUAUAUAUGUUGGUUUGGCUUAUUUUCAAGCUUUCGAGUAUGAGAGGAAAUAAUUUUUUCCUAUUUAAAAAAUAAACCUUCCUUCCUUGAUAAUGGAAGGAAGCUUGUAGGCUGAAGAAAUUUCUAGAUGUACCACACAUUAUCUUUUUUUUUUCCAUAAAAAAAAAAAAUAUAAUUUCUCACUGAAACAAUUUAAAGGUCUGAAGAUGUAACUUUCAGAUCAAAUAAAUGUCUCAUAGCAAUUUCCCAAUUUAAUAUGAAAUGGAAAAGUGACCUCCAAGGUUAAAGGAGUAUAUGUAUGGGGUGUUAUAUGGCUCUUAGAAACAGCCAAAAAUCCUCCCAGGAAACAGAUUCCAGAGAAUGCCACAGUCAUUAACUUAGGUAAGAGCUCAAUCCAGAUAGUUUAAGUAGUUUAAUGAGGCCAAAGGGAUUAGAUAACAGAAGUUAUUUUAGUAUUACCAAUCAUCUGUAACUAAAGGUUUCCUCAGAAAAGCUUUAUUGCGUAGGAAAAGGCAGGCCAACAGGUAGGUUAUAUCUCUCUGAAGAAAUCAUGGUGAUAGGAGGAGAAAGAUUCAUCAUGAAUUAUUAUGGUGGUUAAACCAAAUUCUCUCUUUUGACUGCAUACAAAUUAGACAUUUCCAUGGUUUCAAUGGUCCUUUAAGUCCUUAAUAAAUGUUAACAUAAUAAUGAGAUUACAAGUAUGAUUUUAAAAACUGAGUUUUUCCCUUACACUGUUCCAAGUUUUUUGGAGAUGGAUUCAAAUAUUUUGUAUAUUGCCUGUACCCUAAAAUAUCACUUCGAGACUUCAUGCUGUCGUCCACAUUUUAAAAGCAAGGAGUUAUAAUGACAGAUCACUUCCAACUCCUACAGGUUUUGAUUUAAUUUAGACUAAUUUUAUUUGCAAGAACCUGUAAACUCCUAUCCAUUUGUGCAAAUCUGACCGUUUGGCUUAUUUGUGUGUCCAUAUUUUCCUCAGAUUCUGAGCAACAUGCUGCAAGAGUUAUAUUUUGGCAUACAGGAAUUUUAGAUUUGGGGAAAACAUACAACUUCUUAGCAUUGCAUUCACCACAUUCUUUUCUCUACUGCACUUUUGAAGUUAAAAAUAUAUGAAUGAAGUUUUGUAUUUUUUUUCCCUUCUCUCCCUCUUUUCCCUAUGGCAGAUGUGUUAAUCUACCUGUGGAAUCAGAAGUAAAUUUUACAGCAUUUUUCUGAAGGUUCCUCUUGAAGAAGUCUUGUACAGGAGACUAAAGCUUCCACAGGAAGGAUCAUGAAUUUGUUACGUGGUAAUGGAAAUUAUUAUACAUGCUGCAUGGUGAUAUAGAUGUGAAAUGGGUAUUGUGUUAUUUUCUGAAGUCUUAGUGUUUUCCUUCUGUUCCAGUUCUUAGUGAUCCAUUUUGCUCAUCUAGUAGAGCAGUACAGCAUUUAUUAUCUACAUACAAAAGAAGAUGUAGAUUUAGAACUUUAUUCUGUCAAGCAAUUACUACUUUUAUGUUAAAUAGAGCUGUGCAGAAAUAAUGAAUGCUUUUAAAGUGUUAUUAUGGAAGCCCAGUUUGAUAAUGGAAAAGCUGAUUCAGGAUAGUUCAGAUUUGGAAGUCAGUUUGGGUAUGUCUUAUGGUAUGCAUGCAACAGGAGCAUCAGAGUUCUUCCUCCUCACACUGUCCAAUUUAUUUUGUAUUUAUUUCAUGAAUGGAGUGACAAGCAAAGUGAGGAUGCCCCUUUUUCCCUUUUCCCAGUUUUAGCGCGAUACUGCAUUUUCUGCACAGUGUUAUCUAGCUUCAUCUCUCCACUUACUGAGAGAAACCAAAGCUUUUGGCUCUGUUCUUGCUGUUUCUUUGUAAAGAUGUAGUGCUUUUGGUGCAGCAUUUCUUCUUUGAACUGGCAUUUCCCUUCUCCUCCAGGGAAAUGCUGUUGGGCUGACCUAUUCAACUGAUGUACCCAAAUGCUGGCUGAGUGCAUCCCAUAUCAAGUGCUUGACAUUAUUUGGUGACUUGCUCAUUCCCUUUGUGCUACUGGGUCUACUGUGGGAUUCUCAUAUGGAUUUAUAAAGCCAUCAAUUUGUUAGGCCGUGCUAUCUCCCUGGUGAAUCUCUUUCCCAGAUAGCAUUGAUUAUCCAACACUUGGUGUUUUGAGGUUUCUCAAAAUAAAGUUAUAUUUCUUGAAACUUUUCUCAAAACAAGCUGGGUGGAGUUUCACUAUUCACAUAUUCACUACAGAAGAAAUUUCUUCCACACUUUUAACCAUGUAUUUUUUCUUUCUUUUUUUUUCUUCUAAUACUAAAGUCCCAAAGGUGAAGCUUGUGUUGGGUAGAAAAGUGACAUCCUGGUCAAAAUUGGGAAGUUUAACUUAAAGCUUUACCCGUGCAUACAUAAUAAGUUAGUCUUUUUUUUUUUUAAUAGCUUGCAAGCUAUGUUUCAGCAUUACAAAAUUGGCAUUUCAGAAUUGCAAAUGAAAGCAGUCCAGUUGAAAUAUCCAUUACAGAAUGUGGCAUAAUGUAUGGCUUCCAAAAUAAAGAAUAUGAUGUGGAAAAUAUCUUUAUAUAUUCAGGCAUCCUGCAUCACCAACAGGCAUCCAAAGUUGGUCCAGACUGCACCUCUGCUGCCAUCUAUCGCACAGCAACAUCACAUAGUGGAAUAUUUGCCGUGAAGUUCAACUUCUACUGCCUUACCAUCAACAUCCUUCUCUGACAUCAUGAGCCAACAUAAUAAAAUAGCAGGCAGCAUUUAAUUCAAUACUGGGAAAGCAGCAGUUGGCAGUCUGAUUCUCCUUACCAUAUGAUGACUAUUUCCCUCAAAUCAAAAUCAAGCUGCCAGUUCUAGAGACUCUUCUCAAAGCAAAUAGCGUCAAUAAAAGAAGUGUGGAGAAGUGAUAUGAAUAGCAGGUGUGCCAGAUCAGCCACAUCAUCAUCUGUGGGUAGGUGCUUUUUGGUUUUUGUCGCACUCUCCUUUGUUUGACCUCUGGUGUCAGAGGACUUGGUUGGCAUCUCUGCCUCGCUAAUCAUCUCUGACAUGUGGCUGGCACUGGCAAAUUUACUCAAAAGGAUGUGCCUGCUGUAUUCUGCAUUGGCCUUCACCUGUUGGAGGCAGAUAAGUGCUGUAUAUUUUGAAUCGGGUAUAAAAAUGUAAUGAAUACUUCGUAUACUGCUUUGCUUUGUAACUCUGGUUCACGAGUUCUGUCUUCUUCAGACCAAUACAAGUACUGCAGUAAGUCAGUAAGUCAGUGCUCUUUCAAAUAGCACUUCUUCCCUUCUCAAGAUAAACAAAACAUGUGAUUAGAUUUGGAAGGCAUCAACAUUUUAGUGUAUCCAGGAGUUUGUUUCUUUUUCUUUUUUUUUUUUUUCCCUACAGAAAUAUUCACAUUUGGACUUCAGGGGUGAAAUCCAGGACUCUUUGAAAUCAAUAUAUUUUCACAGAUAUUUUAACAGAGAUGAGAAUUUUCUGCUAAUCUUUCUUCUUUCAGCUACUUCUUCUCAGAAGAGUUACAUACAGACAGAUUUUUUGUACGUACUUUUUUUUUUUUUUUUUUUUGAGUUGGCUACAAGUUAGAAAAUCCCCUACAGCUAAAGUUCAGGCUGAGGAAACAAGUGAUUUUUAUGGAUUAUCUAGUGAGUUUAGUCAAGGAUGCCUGUGCUUGUGUCCUGUGGGAGAAGCUUGUAAUAAGCCUUGAUAAAUCAGUACUCAUAUGCAUGCAUCUUCCCUUUUGCCUGCUAAGACUAAACAGAGCUAUUUCUCAAUUCCCUUUCUGCUAGUGAAUCACAUCAAAGAUUUGAAAGGGUGAUGGGGUUUUCUUAUUCAAAUGAUGUAUUCAUUGACUUUCUUGAUUAGUGUCUUUACAUUUUAUCAAUGAGCACUUCUCUGAAUUUCAAUUACAUGUUUCCAUUGAAGAAACUGUGAGGGGGAAAAAAGUGGUUUCAGUAAUGAUGGUAGUCAGUUGAAAAAGUGCUGUGCAGGUUGACUGUCAAACAUAUUAAUACUUGCUUUAACAAAAUGUUUAAUUUUUAAAAUAUUUUGUUGUUAUGCUUUUAUUUCCAGAAGUGUGAACAUGCACUGGCAGAUCCUUAUUCUUUCUGUGCUCAGUUAUAAAUGUGGUAGGACAUUUAUGUUCAAAAAACUACCUACAGCCUAAUUGCAGAAGAAAGGAACGCUGCAGGUCCUGCCUGAGAGGUUGAGCUGAACACUUUUUUUUUCUGGCUUACUGGUCUGGAAGAGAUUCAGAUAAGCUGAAAUCUUUUCAUGGCGCAAACUUUUGAAAGUAUAGAUCUUCCUUUCCAACUAACAUUAUGCAAGGACUGAAUCGUUGGCAUUCUGAGCAUUUGAGUUACUAGUUGCUAGUGCCACCUGCAACUUUGGCCAAAAGAUAAGAAGGUGUUUGCUUGUUUAUAUAUCAGAAAAGGAUUUAAUGGGGAUAAGUUUAAUAUGCAGUAUUACACUUUUCAUUGUUUCUAAUUAAAUCACAAAUACAAUCUGCAUAUUUUGGUGAGAAUACAGUAUUUUCUAACAGAUUUUGGAUAAAAUGACCUAAAACAAUCACAGCAAUAUGAAGGCUAGUGGAGAAGUGGGUGGAGAAUCAACAUAAAAAAAUAAUUGUUUCAGUGACGUUUCUAAUGUCUGAUAUGGCAUUUCAUUUUCUCAUUUAGUGUGUAUAGAUCUUAGGAUUUUUAGUUAAAUGAAUCUAUAGUAGGUUGGCUGUUGAGCAUGGCUUGAUAUCUUUUCUAGAGGACAAAUACAGGGAAAAAAAUACCUGUGAAUGUUAUCCAGAGAUAUUUGAUCACAUUCUUAAGAAGCUGGCUGGAAUCUUAGAAAAACAUGUUUCCUCAAUGCUCUUCAUGAGUUAAGUUGCCCUGCAGAAGAACUUCUGCUAUUUCUGUUGGGGAUUGAGAGUGUCUUUAUUUCCUUGUCAGUUGGAAACUGUUUUACUGUAUAAUUAUAAUCAUAUGUUGGAGCACACAAAUAUAAAGCUUUGAAAUUAUUAUUGUGAGUUUUAGUCUAAGAAAUUUAUGUUCACAAUAAAGAUGACUUUUUUUUAUAUGCAUAAAACAACUUUGGGGCAAUUUUCUCCCUAGGAAUGCUCCAUAGUUUUGUUGCUCAAUAGCCUCCUGGGAUGUAAAAAAAAGGCUAAAAAUAAAUGCUGUUUCCCGUCAGACAGAAAAUGAGCAUUCUGCAUAACUGUUUCCAAGGUGAGUACUCUCUUCAUGGGAUAGGCAUCUGUGCUUCUGUGUCUUUUCUGGUGUAGUAUUAACAGCUCUAGAGGGCGAGACACACUAGCAAAGAUUAAAAACAAACAAACAACAACAAAAAAACUUGCAGACAUUUAUUCAUUUCUUAACUAGCAUGUCCACUGAGGUUUGGGAAGCCUGUAGGAAUCUCCAUGGAAGUCAACCAGCCUACCUUCAGGCUAUGAAUUUUGGUUGGUGAUGCUUACUCUUUGCAGUUUUAGUUUUCAUAGAAUCACCAAGGUUGGAAAAGAUCCCACAGGAUCACCCAGUCCAACCAUCCACCCAUCACCAAUAGUCCUCAUUAAACCAUGCCCCUCAACACAAUGAUCAAACAUUCCUUGAAAACCUCCACGGUUGGUGACUCCACCACCUCCCUAAGCAGUUUUUGAUGCUUCUUUUUAAUUCCUAUUUAUAAAAUAGAGGAAAACAACACUUCUGUUUUAGGACUGUUGUGAAAAUAAAUACAUUAAAGCUUGUAUAUUCAUAUACUAAUGUAGUUAUGCAUAUCUAAAUAAAGUAGGAAUGAGUCACCAACUUUGAAUUCUGUAUGACUGUUAUUUAGCCUUAUACAUUCAAGCUAACCAGUGAGAAGAAAGUCCAGACUACUAAUUUGCCAUGAGGGAAUAGCAUAUCUCUGAAUCAAACAGAUUCUUUAGCUGGUGUAGGUACGGAUUUGGGGCUAGGAACAUUAAUAGCAAUUCAGUAAGGCACAUGGCAAUUGUAAUUAUUUUAUGCUAUAAAAAGAUACAAGUGACCCUGAAAAUCCUAUUAUGAACCACAAAAUUAAUGGCAAGGCUAAAAUAUUAUAGUUUUAUGUGAACCAUUUCAGUUAAUUUCAGAUUUUAUAUAUAUAUAUAUAUUUAAGUCCAUGAUCAUCUUCAGAAUGUAGAAUGAAUUUUAUAUUUUUCCCUCAGUUUGAGGGAUUGUUUCCUGAAGUUUAGAUUAUUAUGAGCCAUGUUAUCAAUAAAAUCUCCCUUCCCUCCAUACACAGCUAAUUCUACUUCAGUAGAUCAGUCUGUAUGAAUGAGGCAACAGACUGUAUCAUUUUUGUUGUUUAGAUACUGAGAGGCAAAUAUACUUCAUCUCUAGAAUUGGAUCUCUCUUUCUUUCAUUAAUAGUAUUGUAACUAUAAAAUAGAUUUCAUGGGACAACUGGAGUUUGAAAGUAUAGAAAAAAGUAGAGUGGAAUAAGGAAAAGAAUUAAUUAAUAUGUGGUCGUAUUACUUAUUUCACUUAUAUAUUUAUUGCUACAGUAAUAAGGCAUUAGCACUUUUAAUAGAGUAGAUCGUUAUUUACCUUUCAUAAUUUUUGAGUUUGUGUAUGUGUGCAGGAGUUUGUCAGAGUGCUACACAGAGCUUAACUUUUAUAUUUGCAUUUCUUAACAGUGUCAGUUUAUGUUCUGCCACCAGGGAUUGCCUCAUCCCAUGUAAUCCAGAAUGUCUAUAGAUUGAUCUCUGUGCCUGAGGAAUAUGAAGAAAUUCCCCCAUACUCUGUAAUUUCUUGAACAUUGAAUGCAUUGGGAUCAGACCACACAUAGUGAUUUUUAUCUUUGAAGUAUUUCUUUUUUUUUUGUUUUAUUUUUUAUUUUUUUAUUUUUUGCAUUGAAAGACUCCAACCAUCUCUACUAUUGUUUAUAAUAUGAAAGUAAUUAAAAUUCUAUUUUAUCACUUAAUCACCGAAAUGGUUAACUUACAUUAUUGCUGUCUCCCAGUCUAUGCCAUUGUUCUUUUCCAGGAGAAGAAAAUUCUACAAAGCAGCAGAAAGGAAGUGCAAUUCAUUAUGCACGGAGCUUUCUUUAUCUUAAUCAGUUCUGGUAAUUUACGUAAGAGGUUUUGUCAUUAACUGCGUUUUCUUUGAAGAAAUCCCUCCCAUAGCCUAAUCUAGUUUGCCACUUAUUUAAAUGCCUGUGAUGGUAAAACAGAACUACUUUCUUCAGAGUGUUUGAAAAUUAUUAGAAACUCUAGUCUGAAUGUGUGUAUAUAUAUACUUUCGUCAGACAAAAUAUUAUUGUAAGUGAAUGCUAUGUUGUCAUCUUCUAAUUAGACUGGUCUAUUAGUCAAAUUUAAGUUUCAAGUGGACUGGAGGAUGGAGAAGUGUAUGUAAUGGGAGGCACAUAAUAACCUUGUUAACCACUAAAAUGUCUUUCAGGAUUGAGCACUGCAAGGAGACUGACUACAUGCAUGAGAGCUGCUCUGAUAGUAAUGCCUCCUAUUUUAUUAUGUUAGCUCAUAAUAUCAGAAGUGGUUGGUGGUAUGGCAGUAGAAGUUGAACCUUCCUACCAAUAUUUUGUUAGAUUCUGUUGCAAUGUGACAGAUGACAGCAGAGGGAGAGUGAGACAAAUUGGCUUUUGACAUGGAAGUGCGUAUGAAGCAAAAAUAUGUCAUUGAAUUCCUCCAUAGGGAGAAAAUGUCACCCAGUGAUGUUCACUGAAGUUUGCUGAAUGUUUAUGGAGACCAUUGAAUGUCAGCACACCAAGGUAGUGGGUGGUGCGUUUGAAUAGUGGUGACAGUGGAUCAGCUCCACUGGUGCAGAUUAUUAUGAGCGCAGCAUGCAUGCUCUUGUUCAUCAUUAUUGAAAAUGUAAAGCUAAUGGUAGCGAUUAUGUUGAAAAAUAGUGUUUUGUAGCUGAGAAUUUGCUCUAUCAAAUACUGUUAUCUUUGUUGUAAUUUCCAUGGAAAGAAAUGUAAAUCUGAGAAGAGAGAAGAAAAUCAGCAGGGAAUGUCAAUGUAACCGAAAUCCAGGAGCAUAUCCAGCUGAAGGGAGUUCACAGAUUAAGAUCAAAGAAGAACUGAGUGUUAGAAUAAAAGAUUUCAUUUGAGACUUUUCAAGUAUAAUUUGGAGCAGACCAUCUUGAAUGUCAUCACACAGCACAUACAGGACAACCAAGCUAUCAAAUGAAGCCAGCAUGGGUUUGUGAAAAGCAGAUCCUACCUGACUAUCCUGGCCACCUAUGAUCAGAUAACUUGAUCAGUAGAUGAGAGAAAGGCUAGGGUUAUUGUAUACCUUGAUCUUGGUGAGUGUUUGAUGCUGUUUCUGACAGUAUUUUCCUGGAGGAUCUGCCUGUUUUUGGCUUGCGCAGGUGUAUAUUUUUCUGGGUGUUGAACUGCCUGGAUGGCCAGGCUCAGAGAGUCAUAGUGAAUGAAGUUCAGUCCAAUUGGCAAUGAGUCACCAGCAACUUUUCCCAGGGCAUGGUACUGGGAACAGCUUUAUUUAACAUUUUCAUUAAUGAUUUGGAUGGGGGGUGCAGUGGAAUUGCCAAGUUAUGGCCUGAACCAAUGGUUGAGCACCAGGUGAGAAAGGCAAGACUAACCCAGGGAGCUCAUGUGCAAGCAAUGCACAUGAGUGACUAGAAGGAAAUCAGUCUGGAUCCACCGCUCCUUACUCUCAUUUAAGGGCUAGCAGCUGAGGGAGCACCGUUUCUCUGGAUAGAGGUUGCACUCCUCUUGAGCUGUCGCUGAUUGUUGGAAGGCGUGAGCCAAUUUUCCUUCUUUGCUACCUGCUAUUGUUCUGUAGUGCCUGUAUCCCAUUCAAGCACACUGUUAUUGCCUUCUUUCCCCAUACAGGGGAAUUUAAUGAACCCUCAGAAGGUUCCCUGACAAUACCAAAUUAGGUGGAACCUGCAUGAGAGUUGGCAGGCUAUGCAGAGACAUCUGAAUUAGUAGAUUCAGUGGGCCAAUGAAUUCAAUCAUAUGGUAUUUAAGGAAGGUGAGUUGCUCAGUCCUGCACUUCAGUCAGAAAAACCCUGUGCAGUGAUAUAGGCUGAGGAAAGAGGACUUGGGGAUGCUAGUCAAUAGCUGAACACAAGCCAGCAGCGAGCCCAGGUGGCCAAAGUGACUGAUGAUAUCCUGGCCUACAUUAGAAAUACUGUGGACAGCAGGAUGAGGGAAAUGGUAAUCCCAUUGUACAGCGCUGGUGAGACUACACUUUGAAUACAUUGUUCAGUUUUGGGCCCCUUACUUCAAGAAAGCUGUUGAGUUGUUCAAACAUAUACAGAUAAGUGAAAUGAAGCUGGUAAAGGGAUUAUAAAACAAGAAUCAUGAGGAGCAGCUGAGGGAACUGGGGUUGUUUAGUCUGGGGAAAAUAAAGCUGAGAGUGGAUCUCAUCUCUCUCUACAACUUCCAGAAAGGAGGUGAUGGGUGACAGGAUGUGAAAUAACAAACUUUUAGAAUUUCUUCCCAGAGAGAGUGUUCAAGAACUGGAACAGACUGCCCUGGGAAGUGGUGAAGUCCUCAUCCCUGGAGAUAUUUAAGAGAUGUGUGGAUAUGGUAAUAAAGAACAUGGUUAGAUGAUGGUUAGAUGACUUUGUCGGGUCAGGUUGAUGGAUAUACUUGAUGAUCUUUAAGGUCUUUUCCGACCUAGAUGAUUCUGUCAUACGUGUAUGGGUUCUCAGUACCCUGCAAUUAAUAUAUAUCUUUAGGAGUUGUUUCACCUAGAAUCUUUCUUUCAUCCUCAUCACUGAUUUAAAAAUACAGUGCAAAAAAUAUUUCUCCUUCCUGCUUUUGUCUCUCUCUUAUAUGUAUGUAUUUAUACGCUUGUUGUUGUUUCCUGGUUUUGCUCUGUUGGAGAAUAAGUAAAGUUUAGGGAAUGGAUCUGAUCCAAUGGUUUAAACUUUGCUCCAGUAAAGUCUUUAUUACAUGGUCUAAUUCUAAUUUUUUUUUCCCUUUGCUUUUUACUCUUAGGCACACAUUUGAAUUCUGAACUGGUCUAGGAUCUAGACUUCUUUCUUAACAGCGCAGGUUCAUGUUGAAUUAGAGAUCUCAUAUAUAUCUUAGGUUUUUUUACCUGACAGUUUCAAGUUUUAAGGAUUUUUCUUGCUAUAGAAGGCCCUGGUCAUGAGGCAGUUAUGCUUUUAAAAAGCUGACAUGUACAAGAUCAGACAUAGGACUUCACUGGCCAAAGAAAGCACAUAUUAUCCUAUAAUAAGUUGACUCUAAAUGUUCCACUUUUCCUCCUGAGAUUCUAUUGCCCAGACUCCCUUAUUUCCCCUUUAUCUUCUAAUCUGCUUCAUUGAGUUACACAUCUGUGUAUGUUUACUCCUGUGCAUGUAGUGGUGCAAACCAAUCAAGUGACCACUGAGACAGUAAUACUGCCUCUCAGGUGGUACAUAUAAGUCCACAGAUGUUCUGGGGUACUAACUGCUUCUUCAUAAUUCCACGCAGAAGAAUGGCUUUACAAAAGAGCACAAACAGGUUGAAUUAAUAUUGCCUACUGCUGAUCUGAGUGCCUUCAGUACCCCUUCUCCCAGUAUGAGAUUUAAGUUCCGUCAUUGGAACGGCACUCAUUCAAAAAUUAGACCAUAUAUAGCACAAUGAAACAUUCCUACAACUUGGAACCUUUUCUGAAGCAAAAAUUAUACAAGUAAACUAAAGGCUCAAGGCAAAAAUUAUGACUGAAUGUGAUCUUUUGAGUAAAUAAUGGAUUCUGGUAAUGCAUUAGUUUUCAUUCAGAAAAGCUGCUAAUAUAAUCCUAGUUCCCCAAACAGCAGGCUAAUUGUUGUUCAGUGUUCUUUCUGAUUCCACUUAAAAAUUUCACGGUGGACCUAAUAACAGUAAAAGUUAAGGGGUUUAAUAGGUUGGGUGUUUUUUUUUGUUUGGUUGGUUGGUUGUUUUUUUUUUAAAAGGAAAUCGUCCUUUUGAAAUUAUCUGGAACUAGACUUGAACAAACACUUAAAAUUUUAACAAAGUUAUUCCUUCCAUCUUCCCAUUUUCCUUCUAUUAUGGAAACAUUUUUUUUUAAUGGAAAAAAUUGUGUGUCUCUGUGCAAUUUGGACUACAACAAUGCUGUUCUUAUUGAUGUGCUUUGAGCUCAAUUCACAAUCAAGUGGUGAGAGGGACAGUCUCAAUUGCCACUGAUUUAUAUGUAAAUUGUGAUAAACCAGUACUUUCAAAUAUAAGGCACAAAGGUUCCAUUUUAUAUCUCUCUUUCUCUCUCUCUCUCUCUUUUUUUUUUUAGGUAAGAUUCCAGGAGUAAUUUAAAUGUAGUGAACUUAGUAAAUUCUAAAAUGAUCUCCACAUGAUGAAAUAAUUACUGAUUUUAUGCAAAGAGUAAAAAUGAUACUUAAGAAUACUUAUUAUUUUAAGAGUAUACUGCUGUCUUCAGGACAAAAAGUAAUUGUUUUCAUCAUUGCCUCUGUGGAUUAUAUUGUCCUUAUAAGCAGGUAUUAAAUCAUGCAAAGAGGGGAAGGCUUUUGUUCCUUCGAGAAAACAGAAAACUCUUCAAUAAAUAGCAAAGUGAUUCCUCAGCUGAAUUCAAAAUAUUGAGCUUAUGUAAAAAAAAAUUAUCACAUGAAAAAAAAUCUUUAAUGCUGCAUAAAAGAUUUUGUUCCAUUCUGCAUUGUACUGAAUCAUCAAUAGAGAAAUGGUUCCUUUGUUUUCAGUAGAUGGGGAAUGUUGUGGAUAACUUAUGUGAAAAAUGUAAUACUCCUAUGUCAGUACAACAAAAGAAAAGAAAGGAGUAAAUGUUAUGAGGACUGCUUCAGAAGGGAAUUCUGCUCCAAAGAGGUGAUCUAGAAAGAAAGGAAACAAACUCCUUAGUAGUCAGUCCGUUUAGACAGUGAUGCUCAUUUGUGUGAAGCUUUUUUGUUAUCAUCACAUAUUUCAUACUCAUAUAUUAGGUAAGUCUCUCUGGGAAUUCAAUGUACACAGAACAAAAGAGGAUAUACUUGAUUCAAAGAUAGCUGAAUUUCUCAGGAAGUUCUAAACCUCAGUGGGAUGGCUGCUUGGGAAGUCCUUUUACUGCAGUGCCUUGUGGCCACCAAACCAAGCAGUGAUUGAGCAGCCUUGAAUCCUUGUAAUUAGAAGAAGGAAGCUUAGUGAGAACCAGCUUAGAUGACUUUGUUCAUUUUCCUUAGCUUGUAUAGAACUGCAAGUGUUAAUAUAAUCUAAUAAUAAGAUUGUUUUGGAAAAAAAAAAUCUUGGUUUUAUAUUAAACCACUAAACAAAGGAGUGAAAGAAAAAAUAUAUUGCAAUGUUAUGAACAUCAAAUACUAUCUGAACAAGGAAAUAUUAACAGUUUAUGUGAUAAACUUUAGACAAUACUCUUGCAUCAAUAGCAUCACUGAACUGCUUGUGGGUGGCUGGGGAUAGUUUUUCCAAUAUCCAAUACUAAAAAACCCAUUAUAUUAAAAAAAAAAAAAAAAAGUGAAAAGUGAAUAAGAGCAUAUUGGGUCAUUGGCUUAUUAAUUUUACAACUAGAUGAAACAGUAGAUUUGUUUUACUUUACACAAGCUGUGUUUUUUUUCCUUCCAUGAGCUGAGUGAAUGAGUUUGAUUGGUUCUGUAAGGCUCCGGUUUGAAUUUGGGGGGAUUUUAUGCUUUUCUAAUCUUUAAAUGUAGAGUACUAUAGAAUAUGAUUACCUACCAAUUUCUUAACCAAUAUGUAUUUACUGCUGUCUCUGAGUUUAUAUUAUACUACAAUUUUGGAAGUCUUUUUAUACAUGAUUGUAACUGUUCAUGUCAGAUCUGUCUACAUUCGUAUAUUCAGUGCAUGUACUUGAAGAAUAGCUUAUAGAAAGUAAUUGCAGCCAGUGUUUAUAGGACAUCACAGUUGUGUGAACAGUGCUUAAAAACCUGAAAAAAAUCAGAAAAAAAGAUAGUAUAGAUUAAAAUAUUUUUAGAUUUCAUUUCAAAUAGGAUUAAACAAAAAUUUCAAGUAUUAUCUUUACAACUGUGAAGUUCACCCUAUUCUCAGUGAUGGCAUACUAAAUUUGUCAUGUAACUGUGCCUUAGCUAGCCUGUAGGAUUUAUUUUAGUUAUACAGACUGUCUUGGAAAUACGCAUAGAGGAUGAAGCAGUGACCUAUGGAUUUUAGAAUACUCAGAAAAAUUUUGCAUACUAAUCUUAUUUUUUUUAUAACAAUCUGAAUCUAAUUUACUUGCUGCAAGUGGGGAUGAGUCACAUUAAUUUGUCUUUUUUAACUAGAAAUACCCUACAGCUUGAUCAACACCACUAUCCCGAUUUAUACCAUCAACAUCAUGGAUUGGGUCAGUAUAAGGAAAGGAAAAAAUGAAAGAAAUCAGAAGCAAUUUUAAAACAUCAGAAGAGAAAAAAAAAGUCUUUGAAUAGAUCUGUAAAGACAGCUCAUUAUGUUUAUGAAAAAUCCACAGUUGAUAGUGAUGUACUGAUGAAUAUGACUAUAUAUAUGAAUAUCCACCUCAUCCCUCCUCUUCUGAGUUGUCAUCAAGAAAUAAGAUAUUCUCUCUUACUCUUCUGCCAAAAAACAUCUGGAAUCCUUAGGAAAACAUUGAGGUAUUGAAUCAAAAAGACUCUAUCAGCAUAUUUACUUUAAGCACUCAAAGUCAGUCAUUGACUCAGUUGUAGACUUAAGAUUAUGCAGUUGCUUCAUGUUUUACUAAAAGGUUUAAACAUUAUACUGAAACAGAGGUAAUUACACUGCUUAUAUGCAGUUCUAAUCUACCUUGAGUGUGGGAAAAAAAAUUACUUGUGCAUUUAAAAAUAGUAUUAUAAGAAUUAUUUGUAGGAUUUUUAUGCCUAGGUGCUAGGUGCUCCUAGUGCAGAUUUCACAACUUUUUGGAAACUGUAAGAUUACUAUUUCUUUCUGAGUUGUUUGUCACUCUUAAUAACUACGAGGUAAACAGAAGAAAACACUUCUAUGAAAGCUGCUCUAAUAACUGCUGUAAUGACUACUAACAGAAAUGGCUUCAUUAUUCAUGAGUUGUGCACAGAAUUAGUUUGAGACAUUGAAUGGAUGUGAGGAUCUAUUCAUUUUCUGUUACAAACUCCAUUCUCAGCUACCUGAAAAAAUUAAGGUCAAGAAAAUGGUUCAUCAUGUUUACUCAUUCAAGACAUCACCAAAAUCCAGUUGAUACUAGAACUGGGGACAAACUUACUUUACUAAUUUGUCUUUGUGGGUAAUAUGCAACCAAUCCUUUCCAUAUAAACUACUCCAGAGCCACUAUUAGUAUUUUUACUAGUGUACGGAUAGGAGGAGGUUAGAGAAGCAUAUAUCAUAUGUCUAGGUUAUAUAUAAAGGGACUGGAUAUUGAUUACCUCCAUAUUUUACCUGCUGAUAUAGUCAUCUUUGUGUAAUUUUUGAUAAUUUUACAAGGACACCUUAUUGUUUGUGAGAAGCAAGUUGGAGAGCCUUUCUGUAGUGAUCUGCAUCAGCAUUUAGAAUGCCAUAAUGAGGUUAUAUGUUACACUAUGCUUAUGUGCUUUGCUAUUAAUUUGAAAUAUUCUCCCUGAACAUGAAAUUAAUAGAAGUAAGGAAAAACUAUUGGACCACAAUCUGGAUUAAGCACUUCUUUGUAUCAUAGAACUUCAGAUGCAUGAUUAUUAUGCCAGUAAUCAGAGUAGCAUUGAAUUUAAAAUUGCUGCUUUGUUGCUCUGCAUAUUUUGAUCCAGUAAUUAGGACUGAGAACUGUUACUUCGUUUUACUUUCAGCAUUAGUAACAUUACAGGAUUUCAGAGUAUGCAAAAGAGAAAGGGCAUGAAAAUCAAAGCAAAACUUUCAUUAGAUGAUGAUGCAGUUUUGGAAAUUUAAGGAACUUCAAUUAAGUUUCACACCUUACAGUAUAAUGUAUACCCUAAAUUCUGUAAAACUUAAGCUUAGGUGAAUUAUUUGGAUUUUUGCUGUGACCUUCACUUAAAUGGCUAGUAUUUCUUUCUCUAUCUUUCAGUGCAAUAAUUUUAGACCAUACAAGUGCCAGGUUAACUUUUUUUUACAGGGUAGUAGCUGUGUCUGCAUCAGCAAGUCAUACAUGGAAGAAAUAGAUCAGGAGAUCAAAAUAGCUGGUGGUUGAGACUACUGCCACUAUUAUGUGUACUGCUCUGGGGGCUUAUUUUGAAUUGAUUUAGUCUAGUUUCCUGAUUCAGAUGUCCUCGUCACAUGUGCAGCUCAAAGUCCUUUGAAGAACUAACCUUUUGUUUGGACCCUUAUGAACCCACUACUUGCUAGAUUGCAUUUGAUGUGUGCCUGAUAUAGAGUUUAGUUUCCUCCAAAGAAAAUCUAGCUAGCAUCAGCCUCUCCUCAUUGGGCAAGUGCCCAACUCCCCACCAUAAUGAAUGCCCAUUCCUUAUCAGUGCUGUAUCUUUAUCUCUAUUUUGACAGCAGUUUUCUGACUUUGAGUUCUAUCAUAAUCUUAACAAGCUUCCCAUUAAUUUCUGAAUAGAACAGCAUAUGAAGAUACAGUACUGGAAGUCUGGUGAAAGGAUUAUGGUGUUAGGAAUUAACAGGAAGAAUGAAAACUACUGCACCCACCCAAUACAGAAAAGUACAUACUUCAUUAUCUUAGUAGCUACAUUAUCUGCAAUAUCAAACAUCUUGUUUCGUGUCAAAGGUCAUACCUUGGUGAUGUCUUAUUAGUACAGCCGUCUUUAGCUGGUGUGAGAUAUGUGUUUAUUCACAGUUUGAACAUCACCCCUUCAUUCUCUCCUAUCAUUAGUAACUUAGAGUUUUCAUGUACCCGAUCAACUCUUGACACAAGAUAGGUCUCUAGAAGGAAGAGUGAGUUUUGAACUUUCUGUAAUUAAAUGUACAUUUUUUUAACAUCAGUAAUUGGAAAUCACAAUAGAUUCCAAUCCCCAUGCUAAUAAUUCAUUAUAAAUCUGACAUAUAUGGCGAACAUUUAUAUACCAUAAUUUUAGAGGUAUCUCAACUAGAAAGUUCCUAGCAAUAAUAAAAUAGUAAUAAAAAGACAAAGGCAGACGCAAAAUAGCAUUUUAAAGGUAACAUAGUUGAAUCUGUUAUUGUCCAAAAUUAUUUUCUGCAUUAAACACUAGAUACUAUGAGAAGAACUUAAAGUAAAAGGUACGUACUGUAAUUCUUCUCAUAUUAUGUAUUAGACUGAAAAAAUACACAUAGGUAGUAAGGAAGUUGUGUUCUCCCAUAGCACUGUGAUUAAUGUGUACUUAAAUUUCUUCAAAAGAAUCUCGUAAUAUGUCCAUGAGAUGUUCGUGAUUUUAUUACAUCAAAAUUUAAAAGCAAAUUUCAGGCUUACAAGCUCUGGCUUUUUUGCUGUGAUUGGCUUCUGACAUGAGCACAGGUAGUCCCUGUCUUGUAGUCUUGCAUUCUCGAUUUACAUAGUGGACUUUAAAUUGUUUUACUUCAGGGGAUGUUAUAAUCUCCUUUGAUGUCCAUAAAGUCAGUAGACCUAAUCUGCUUGAAAGAUACUGAAUUUCUUAGAAGCUCAUAUCCGCCUACUAUUUUACAUAGGGAUUAUCAUUACUAGGCUCAUAAAAUGUGUUUUUAACAAUAACAAAAUUUGAUAAGCAGCUUGGCUUCAUAAUGAGAAUUUAGCAAGACAGAAAUGCUACUCAGCAGCAAUAGUUUUUCCCUUGCAGAAACUAUGUCAUGUGAAAAGAAAAGGAAGGAGGAUCUGAUUUCUAGACAGUUCGUAACUGAUUGUGUCAAAAUCUACAUAAACGCAGGACACACAGUUCUCAUGGUAUGUAUAAGAGUUGUUUAAGGAGUUAAUUAUGGAUAGGAAUGAAUUAUCUGUGCAUAUGCUGCUGGUAACAAAUAAUCAACUUUAAAUUCUCAUUUUUAGACCUAAUGGUUGAUAUUCAAUUACUAAUGGUUAUCCAUCUAAAAAGCUAUCUUACAAUACUCAGCUUGAAUUAAAUAUCACUACAUUAAAUUGAAUUAUGAGAAAGAGUAGCUCAUCUAUAUAUGUAGAACAUCUUGAAAUUGAAAUUUGUUAUUCAAAUCGUGAUUCUGUAAUAUGGAAGUGCACAUUUUUAAUAUGAAUAUAGAGAAUUCAGUGCUUGCCUAUUUGAGUUGCAUGUAUGAGCUCAUUAAAAAAGGUAUGCUAAAAAUGAGUAUCUAUAAUAUAUAAUCUAGAAGAUACAAAACCAAAUACAUAGUUACUGAUACCAGUCUGUGUUAAUGUCUGUGGGUUGCUUCAAAAGUACUGCCUUCUAUUUAUUUCCAUGGCAAUUAAAACAGAUACGGAGGACACAAUAACACUGUUUGAUAGAGCAAAUUCUCAGCUACAAAGCACUAUUUUUCCUCAUAUAGUCACCACCAUUAACUCCAUGUGUUGCCAGUGAUGAACAAGUUCCUGCAUGCCAUGCUCGUAAAAUUCUGCAUGGCCAUCAGGGGUGUGGCUUGUCUUUCAUGUUGCUAUCAUCACACUGCUGAAACACACAACCCAUGGCCUCUCUGUGCUCACAACCACUGUUUGGUCCACAUAAAUGUUCACUGAGCAUUGAUGAAAGUCAGCAGGUGUCAUUUUUUAUGCUUAGAGGAAUUCAGUUAUAUGCCUGUGCUCAAUAAUUCACUUCCACAUCAGACACUGUUUUGACAGACUGCCCCUCUGCUGCCAUCUGUUGCAUGGCAACAAAAUGUAAUGGAAUAUUGGUAGGAAGUUUCAGCCUCUACUGACAUACCACUAGCAUCUGCCUCUGAUGUUGUGGGCCAACAUAACAAAAUUGGAGGCAUCAUUUUCAGAGCAGCCCUUGUAGACAGCACCAUAAAUGCCAGUAGAUGAAACCGUAAACAGGGUGUACAGCUUUAAGUUUUCUUUUUUGAAUUAUUCUUUACCAUUUUACAUCACUUUUAAAGACUGCAUUUUGAAAAAUGGUCAGCAUCUCUAAUUCUGUAUGCAUAAGCAGUUGGGCAUGCUAGGGGAAAAACCUAUUUCUAGGAUUUAUGUGUGUAUACUAUCUGAGUGUGCUUAGCAUGACCGACAGUUAUCACGUACCAGAAUGACAGUGUAUUUUGCAUUCUUAUAGGAGAUUUGUGCAAGUAGGUGGAGACAAUGGGAGGUCUAUAUGAAGUUCUAACUGGCUUAAGUUGGUGAUGUUGAAUGUGACUGUUAACGCUAUAUAUUUCUGAAAGUUUUAGAGUCUUUAUUUGUAAUGACAUAUUAAGGAUUCAUUUACUGUUUUCCAACUUACAGAUUUAUUCUGAAGACAUUUUUUAAAGGGCACUCAAUCUUAACUUUCAUUGCGUGGAAACAGAUUUAUGCCCCAUGAAACACAUGGCUACUUAAUUUUGGCUUCUACAUUCUUGUUUAUUUGUAUAUCUUUCUGAAUAUAUUCCUCUUUGUUAUUAGCUUACUCCUGCCUCUUUGCAGACAUGCGUAAUCAGCCACAAGUUUCAAAGGUUGCAGUUGGUAGGAAGGGCAUGGGGAUAACAGCCUGAAGCAAGAAUAGACGAGAAAGUGUGGAUAAAAUCAACUCUGUGUUCUGAUAAGAGAGAAAUAACCUACCAUUUGUACUAUUUACUUGGAGGAAUUUAGAAACUAGCAGGGAGGAAGAUUAGACAGCUUAGGAAGAAUUAGAACCUUGAAAAAAGAUGUAAGAGGAUGGAUGAUAUACCUCAGGAAGAAUAUGUCUUAGCAUAUAGUCUAGGGAGACAAACUUACAUGGCACUUCAUAUAGAUAUGACUGCUGCAAGCUCAGCUUCAAUACUGUAUUAAAUUGAAUAUGUUGCAUCCCAGCUGGAACUAGCUAUGAUAUGUCCUAAGGCACCAUUUUUAUCAGCAGCCUUUUUGGGUUAGCAAACAACAAAUGAACAGUUUCUGUGCUUUGAGCCAGUAAUAAUGAGAACUUGAUAAAUUCAAAUUCUUAAACUGUGAUCAUUAAACUAUUUUGUUAAAAUUUGUUUUUGUUGAUCUCACUGAUGGAGACACCUCUUUGCCUAGUCCCAUCAUGUUGAUUUGAGAAAGACCAUGGAUUCUGACAAGACUUAAGGAUACAGAGAAACAGAAAUUUUAGACAAGCAUAGUGUUUCAUUGUUUAUUAACCAAGUAGUUUUGUUUCUGUGGGAUCAUUUCAUCUAGAAUCACUCUGAUAAAGACACAAAACUACUGUGUUGGUUGUCCUUAACAGAAUGUAAAAAUUUUUGAGUGCUCAUUUCAGACUGACAGACUGGCAGUAAAGUUGCCAACUAAUAUAUCUGGCUGAUCUUUUGUAUGAAAUGCAACAAGUAGCUUGAAGUCCUCCUCCUUUGGGGCCAGCAAAUUGAGAAUGCCAAUAUUCUGUAUCACUUGAGGGUGUUUUGAGGUCAGUUAGUGUUUUUGAUCUAGCAGUUACAAUAAAAAAUCUAGAUACAAAAAAGCCUACUUACAGUAAAUCUGUUGUUGUGGUUAUACUUUUCAGUUAUUUUAGUCCAAGAAUCUGGAGAAUUUCCUUGUAUUUGGAAACAGCGUGAUGCUGUUUGACAGCAGUCCACAUGCCAUGUCUUACUUCUAAUGGCAAGAGCUUGGCUGUCCAUUGAUGUGAAAGGGCUUUUUGGUAAAAUGUGAGUUUUGCUUUUUCCACUGAAAUGGUUGAAAAGUGAUUUGAGUAUAAAAUGGACACAGUGACAAUAGGAAAACCUGAGAGAGAGAAAGAAUGGAUUUCUUCCUAAUUAGUCUGAACAUAAUAAUGUGUAGCAUGUUAGCAGAACAUGUCUGAUUUUUAACAGAGGAAAAAUGAGAGUGCUCAGCACAAGAGAAAAGCUUUGCAUUAAAUAAACCUUUUAUUUUCCAGUGUCAGUUAAGUUCUGCUGAACAAAACCUUGGACCAUUGCUCUAGAAAGCAGCAGGUGAAUGCCACAAGGCAUCAUACUGAGGCCAGGGUGAGGGCAGCCACAGGGCUGGGACAUGGCCAAUGAGGAGAGCUAGGCAAGGCCUGACCAAGGUCCUGGGGGUCUAUGCUCAUACUGAGCCAUCUGCUGGGCAGUGCGGCAUGCCACUGUGCCACGUUCAGUCAAAUGUUGCAGAGCACUGCAAAAGAGACGUGGAGGACAGCUUGCUGAUUUUGUGGGCUUCCUCAGGCAAGCAAAGGCUGAUCAGGCAGAAGCCAGUUGGGUAGCUAUCCCCACAGGCAUCAGGAACCCAGCGUGAGGAGCCCAGAUGUGGUGUGCACUCAUACAUACCAACAUGAUAAAGGAUGUAUUUCCUCACAUGCACUUACUGGCUUUUUGGGUGGGUAGGAACUAGGAGGUUUUCCAGUCCCUCCCUGAUGUUUUCUUAGGGAAUCACCAUGAAAUGUGUUCCAUGUGAUGGCCGCCCAUAUUGCUCUUAGCAAAUACAUCUUUAUCUUGGCUUCAUAUCAAAAUGGGCUAUUGAUUUCAGAUUAACAAAAUCAAGAAAAAUAUAAGUGUGAGAUACUUUUAUUCUUCAAUAAAGUUCUGAGGACAAUAAUUGGAUUUGCCUUCCAGACAGGCACAUAGUAUUGAUUAUGAAUCUGAAACUAUAAUUCAAACAAGGCCAAAACUAAUAGAAAGUAUACACAUGUUCAGUAACAAAUAAAUUAAAAAAUAAAAAAUAUUCAUAUGUUAAAUGCAAGAAUUUUACAACUGUUACACUGAUAUGUUAUUGUAUUACACUUGCCUAAGUGGCUUAGCUGUUUUGUGUAUAACCUAAUAUAUGAUUUCACUGUUAGAGAAUUAUGGAGUAAACUAAAGAAAGGUAAAACACUUUUUAUCACUAACAUAACAUAAAACAUACCUCAGUGACUGUUGUUGUGAAAUACUAUUUACUAUUUUUUUUUCUUUUUGGUCCUUGAUGAAAUUAAUGUGGGAAUGCAGUAUGAUGCCGGAUGCUAAAGUAGAUCAGUAGAUUAAUUUUAGUCUCUUAUGUAUGCAACAGAGUUCUGAACAGUCUUUGGGUGAGGCUGUCAUGCUGAAUAAUUUCUUUAUCCAUUGAUCUCUAUUCAAGACUUGAACUUCAGUAACUGGACAUCUCAACAUCAUAAAAUAGUCAAAACUUGAAAGGAGACAUUAAAUUACAAAAAAAAAAAAAAAAAGGAAAAAAAGUUAUACCUCUUUUCACUUUAAUUUCUUUCUUUCUUUCUUUUUUUCUUUAAUCUCACUAAAAAAAAUAUAUAUCAAAAUGUACUGUACUAUGAUUUUUAUUAACCAGUUCUUACAACUUGCAACUGAUUGUCUCAGCUUGAAUUUAUCUGUAGUAUACAGAAUUCUCUUGCCCAUUCACAAAGAAAAAGUAUUAUUUAGAGUAGUUCUCAUCCACAGCUUCCUCAUUACUGGAUUUAUGUGAAAAGCAGAUCUUAUUUCCCAUGGUUAUUCACACAGAAGUUUUCUUUUUAUGACUUGAAAAAUAGGGUUAUUCUUCUUUCCUUGAUACUUGAUGCUUUUAGUUUAUUCCUAUAGCAAAUAGAAGCAGAGGUUCUCCAGUUCCUAAGUGCUAUUGGUGCUUUUUAUGUGUAAUAACUGGACUUAACACAAAAAAUAAAUUUUUAUCCAGUUAUUUUAUGCCAAAAUCAACACUCUCCACAGUCUGUACAUAUACUGGUAUACUGGUAUUGCUUCUAUCUUGAUUCAGAGUACAGCCACCAUGUUAAUGAAGUGUUAGCAGAUAUGUAAGAAGUUAUCUAAGAAACAUUAUUUUAGUUUUUUGAAACUGCUCUGCAAAAACAUUUCUUUUCAGUUAGUAAUUGCUUAGAGCUUAUAAAGUUGAAUGAAAGAUAAAAUAGAUCUUCCUUUUUUUCAACUACUUAACACAACAAGCAUUCAUUUUUUCCCCUGGAUCUAAACUGGAACUUUUGAAGAAUCUGAUCUUACCUUUCACCCAGAAAGAGGAGGAGAGAUCAAAGAACUCUCUCUGUUACCUUCAGGCACUUGUAUGGUCAAGAAUAAGUUGGAACAAAUAUGGCAUUUGUGCUAAAUCUUCCAAUAAUAAUAAAUGUCACAUUAGAGAAGAGAUAUUUUGACAAUAUUUGAAAUACUAAAAUGAAAUAACCUUAUUAAACAUAUCUGUGAAGCUGCUUACAAACUCCAUGAGGAAAUUUUCUCUCUUUGCUAUAAAGAAAUAGUAAUGUUUGAAAAAUUGUCUGAUGUUGAAAUUCUUAUAUUAGGGCAUUCUGCAUAUAAAAAAGUGAUGACAUGACAGGCUUUUUCACAUUAUGGUUGUUUUCAAAAGAGGAACAGUAAUUUUAAAGUUAUUAAUUGUCUUUUGUUUCUUUACUGGCAAGUUUUCACAGGCAUUUAUUUCAACUAGCAAUGUAGUCAAUUUUUAUCUGUUUUAUGGUCUGAUAGAUGGAGGACGUACAAAUCAAAUAAACAUCAUUAAAGUAGCAUCAGCAUCUAAUCCAUUUAAAUAAAUAUACCCUACAUUUGCAGAUAUAACUCUUUGCAUUGCUGUAAGAAUAAUGGUAAAUAUGAAAAAUAUAAUAUCAAAACAAUAAUUUGUUUUUUUUACCAUAAUGCCAAACAGAGGUAUCCACUGAAAAUAGUGCUUGUAAAAUAACAAUGCUAAACAUGGAUUGUGAAAGGAGAGCCUUUUGAAAAUACUGAUUAAAAAAAAGAAUGAAUGAUAGAAAACUUUCUUUGCAUAAAAGAUGCAAUGUGUCUGUGAAAUAUGUAAGAAGAGAGGCAGGAUCAGAGGUUUGUCUAUGAGAAUAUGAUCAGCAUAAGAUACUUAGGCAGAGAUCCUCAAGAUGACAUCUUUGACAAAGCAUGUCAGUGUUUCCCAGUUUGGUUUUUGCCUCUAGACUAUGAAGGAAAUAGUUUUUCAGUAACAAAUAAUAGUAAAGCCCAUUGAGCUUCACUAUUGUAAUGACAGUUCUGAAGAAAAGUAGGCAUUGCAGAAGACAGAAAAGUGGUGAUCAGAAAGAAUAAUGCCAGUUUGUACAACUAUGGCAAAAGCUCCUUCAAAGCAGAGACAUCAAGGAGAUAGCAUGAACACAUUUGUUUUGAAUACCUAAAAUAAGAGAGGUUUCUUUGCACAACUUUGCUGAAAUGGAAUAUAGGAAGCCAAACAAAUAUUUAAAAAACCUGAUCAUAGCAACCUGAUGAAAAUUUUAUCAGAUGAGCAUAAUCUAUGAUCAUUUAGAGGGUAGAAUUUUGUAGAAUUUUGAAGGGAAAAAGCUGCUGAAGACAGAUCAAGUCAAAGAUGAGGUCUGUAACUACGCACCUGAAUAUAAGAUUUUAGCUAUGCGUUUCCUAUCUGUUACUACUAUGUCUACACUAAAUAUUGUCCAUCCACACAGUUAAGAAAUGGCCUGAAUUUUAAGUGAAAACAUAUGUCCAAUUACAGAAGGAAGAGUUUGUAAAAUAGGAAUUAAUUUGGUAUUUUUUUUUUCAAAAGUUGAUGUCUUAAUAUUUGGAAGUACAGAAUUUGCUGUUGUCUACCUUUCUUUGAAUUAUAAACUCCUCUCUAGUUCCAUGAAUCUGAUUGGGUAGAAAGUUGAAUAAGUUCACUUCAUACUUUUGAUCACUGAUCUCGUCAGUACCUUCUCUGCUUGUACUAUUCUAAUUUGAAUGGGCCAAAAAAGACUUAAGACAUGGGAUAAAAGCUUAAGAAACUUCAAGAACUUAAUUGUGGAAAUACACCAUGAAUGUUUGUGCAAAAUUUGUCACAGAGGUGCAGCCACUUUGGUGAUGAAGGACAUUUUUCACUACAGUGAGAAAGGCUCUGUGGUUAUGCUAUACCAUUAGUCAGCAAGAAUAUUGUGUAAGGUAUGAAGGAGAGGAGGGAGCUCUGGUUUUGGUAGUCUUUUAUUGAAGGGACUGAAGGAUUUGUUAGUCAGACCAUGUUUCAUUUUGGAAGGACUAUUCAUGUAUGGAGGGCAAAGUAGAACUGUUAGUGCAGAACUUAAUUAGUGUUUGUGGGUGAUUUUUUGUAGAAGUGAAACAGAGAUAUAAGGAAAUAGGGCCAAGGAAGGAGUCCUGUGGAGCAAAGGCGGGGAGAGAGGUGUGGGAUACUGUAGGAACCAUAUUCCAAAAAGGUUAUGGAAGAACAUUUUAUGAAAGGGACAGCUUGGAGAAAAUGAAGCUGCCUCACUUUCAAAUAGCUGGAGACUGUGGAGAUACUUGCAUAUAUAUGUGUGACACAACAAUAAUUUUGUGAUGACAGUGAUUGAUUUAUUUUUUGAUUUUGACAAUUGAUUUUUAAGACUGACCAUCAAAUCAUUACAUAUGUGCACAUAUUAGAUUUUGUAUCUGUAUCUGUAAAUAUGCAUAAGCAGCACUGCAUAGGACUUAAAAUCUAGCUCCAGAUGUUAUGUAUUUUUUGUUUUCUACUCAUAAACUAAAAUGAAUGACAGAGACAUUUAUACACAGUCCCAAAAAACAUUCGUGCUGGCAAUUCCUUCCUUGGACAAUAAUGAUAAAUACUCUCUACUUCAUAUGAGAUCAGGAAAUCACUUGCCUUUAAGCCAUCCAAUCUAAGGGUAUUAAUUAUGUAUUACAUCUCAUGAACCUUCUAAAUUUAGAUAGCCUUGCAGGGAUUGGUGUGAUUUAUUAAUAUACUGACAAAUAAUUAGCUGAGGAAUCUAUCAUGUAUAUUUCAUCUGUAGCCUGAAACUUCAACCUCUACCUCUUGGGAACAUGAAAAAUCUAUUAGUCUGUCUAUCACUUCACCAGUUACUGAAGACUGAUUCUUUUCGCCAUUUUGUAUAGCUAAAAUACAACAAGGAAAACUGAUGUUCUGUUGUAUAAAAGUGAUGUUUCAGCACCCCUGAAACUGAUGGUGUAAGUAAUCAUACAUAAGAGUGAAGGAUGCUUCUGAACCAAAGCAAUUAAAGGCUCUUAAUAAAUGGAAGGCUUGAUUAAGCACCUGGUUAUGGUUACUGACAAAUAAUGCACUUACCAAUGCUGGUUUAACUGCUGUUAUGGGAACAAAGGAAGCUGUUUUCAGCACUAUAGCCUAAAGACUUCUGACUGUUUUUACUUUAGCAGAUAUUAAAAGGGUUGCAACUCAACUUCAUUAGCAUUGUUUUGAACAAAGAUUAUGGAGAAUAGAAAUUGAAGAUUAGAUUUCUGAAGUAAUUUUGGUAGAGUAGAAAGACUCCUUAAGUAGAAAUAAUUAGCCACUCUGCAAGCUACUUAUUAAAGAUAUCAGGGUGCACAAAAACUCAUGCAUGCCAACACUGAAGAAACAAUGAAAAUUUUAAAUUCCUAUGUGAAAAGAAUAUGAACAUCGCAAAGUUGAUUACCAACAGUCAGAAAACACAGAGCUAUUCUUGCUUUUGUGGCCUGCAAAGUGUGUGUUUCACUGUUAACAUUGUAAUAUCUUCCAUUCUUUUUUUCUUACUGUUCACACUUCUUGGAGUAUGAAGGACAAUACACUCCACUAUACAACCUCUUUUGUCUGCACUUGUAUUGUCUGACUUAGUCCUGUCUCAUCUCCCUUACCUCUUCUCUCUAGAAAAUAUAUUACAGCUGUCUGUCAUUAUGUGACUUCCAUUUGCUUCCAUCAUUGAGAACUAUCUAGAAAACCAUACUUAGUCUUUUAACACCAAAUUACAGCAUACAGUAUCUCUCUGCAGGGAUGCAGAUGCCUGAUGUCUAGGAGUUCUAAGCAUGUGGAACAUGCUCAGUAAAACUAGGAGCUUCAUCCUAGCUCCCUGCCGAGCUCUUGAUAGUCAAUCCAGAGAACACAUGCAGAUAAGUUCUUCGAGCUCAUAACUUGAAUGAGUACUACUUGCAUCUUAGGUAUACUUACAUUAAACUGUAUAUUUAUAAAAACAGAUCUCUUACCAGGCUCAUGCAGUUUCAGGAAAGAAUGACAGUACAAAUUUAGAAAAAAGCCACAUGUGAAGGAACUAGUAUGAGAGAUGACUCUAAGUGAUUAGUAAAAUGGCAGAGGGGAACAAAAGAUUUUCACUGAUAGUUAUUCCUCUCUCAUCCCUCUAAAACUCCUUCAAUUCUCAUGCUCACAAUAGUUACUAGUGACCUUUUUCCACCGCCAUUUUCCAAGCUGCAAAUUUCCUAUAGUUGACUGCGGCAGCUCUAAAUCCAGAUGGUAGGUUUUGAAAUCCUGGUUCUCAUUUGUACUCCAACAAAGUAAUUAGCAUCCCCUUGCAGCAAAGCACUGUAAAUAAAAUAAAAUUUCUCUCUUCACACUGUGUCAGCUAUUGCUGCUUGGUCAGAGUCACUGUCAGUAAGUAUUCAGACCAUCAUAGAAGGGACAAACGACAUUUGUUGUUUUCAAACCAAAGUUAAAAGGCUCUGAUGAACUUCCUCACAGUGUUGCAAAACAAACAAACAACAACAACAAAACACCAAAAAAACCCACCACCACUUCCAAAUGCCCUUAACUACUGGAAACUGGAUCUGGACUGCUACUAAUGGUCAUGAGUAACAGAUAUUACCUCCUAAAGAAUAGUGAGAACUACUUUAAACUUUUCUGUGAAACAAAUGAGCACAAGUUUGGGAUUUGACAGUAAUUUAUCUUCUCUUUUCUUGAGAAUUCUUUAAAUGAUUUCAAAGCCAUUUAAAAGUGCUCAGUUUCAUUUUGCUGUUGGUAUACUUGUCCUGUUCAUUCACCAUUCUCUACUUCUUUUUUUUGGAAAAAAAGAAAAAAAAAAAAAAGGAAAAAAAAAGUUGUGGUAAACAAUUUCUAUUGGAAUGUACAAAUUGUGUUGCUUUUUGUUUUUAUUUUUUUUAUGACAGCUAAUAUUUGAAAACUUACCAAUGGAUAGAUAUUAAUAACACUGUAUCUUGGGAGGAGAGUUGAAAUUAAUUUGCCUUCACUAUUUGCUAUAUAAAACAAACUAGGAGCAUUUCAUAGCCCCCUACAUGCAGCAUAGGCUUCAGAAUAUGUUUACUGUCAUGUGUACUAAUACAAUUGCUGUUAGCUCAGAGAACCUGUUAGCAUUUUAUAACCUAUUUUAUUAUUAUUAUUAUUAUUUAUUAUUAUUAAUAAUAAGGUUAGA
Molecule: long non-coding RNA, 39731 nt
Organism: Gallus gallus (chicken)
Lineage: Eukaryota; Metazoa; Chordata; Aves; Galliformes; Phasianidae
Source: Ensembl